GCUGAGGUUAACCACUAUGCCCCUGGGCUGGUCCCAAAUAUGGUCCUUUUUUUAUCCACCCUGUCAAUCUCUGCCUUUACCUGGACUGUUUAGAGACCAUUAAUAUUUAAGGUAAUUAUUGAUAUGGUAGGAUUUAGGUCUACCAUUUUAUUAUAUGUUUUCUGUUUGCUCCUCUAUUUCCUUGUAUCUCUGUUCUCCCUUUCCUUCCUUCUUUUGGAUCAUUUGAAUAUUUUAAAUUAUCUAUUGGAUUUUAGGCUAUUACCUCUUUGGAUUUUCUUUUUGAUUUAGUAGUUGCUCUAGAGUUUACAAUAUAUAUAACUAAUUUUUCAUAGUCUACUUAGAAUAAAAAUUGUACUACCUCACAUAAAAUGUAGAAGCAUGGCAACCACAUGGGUCCUUAUCCCCCAAACUUUGUUAUAGUUGUAUAUCGAUUAAUUUACAUACAUUGCAACCCUCACCGAUGGUAUAAUUUUUGCUUCCAACAAAAUAUAUAUUUUAAAUAUACAUAUAUGUUUCAAUAGAUUUUAAAGAAGAGGGAAAAAAUAGCCUUUUAUAUUUAUCUGGAUAUUUACCAUUUGUUGCUCUUUCUUCAUUUCCAGAGAUCCAAGUUUCCUGGUAUCAUUUCCCUUCAGUAUGAGGAACUUCCUUCAGCAUUUCUUGCAGAGACAGAAAGGUGCAGUUGACCACUUCAAACAGUCUAUCUGUUUGAUCACGAUCUUCAGCCCUGUAGAAGAACUUGGAAGACACAUCUUUACCUGAAAAUCUUGAAAGGUCUUCUUGGAGCAACCGAGGCCAUGGAGAACAGCUUCUGGAGGGCGGCUCUCCCUCUGGAUUAUGAACUGGUGAACCUAGAAGGGAAACUUCCUGCUACAAUAACACAGCAAGGCAAUGUGAUGAACACUUUUAUUUACAAAUAUAAUUAAAAGCUCUGACAGUUAUCAUGCUCUUCCUUGGGACCUGAAAAAUGUUUUUGUUUUUGUUUUUAAAGUGCAUGCAAAAGAAGUAAAGCCUUUUUUUUUUCAUCAUUUUUUAUUGUAAGAAAAUACACAGUUUGAAAGUGUGAAUAAUGCAAUAUUUAUGACCAAGAUAUGGGACUUAGGGAGGGGAAGGGAAAUAAAGAAAAAGAUCAAGAUGAUCUGAUUGAGAGACAGUGUUGAACUCCAAAUACUGAAUUGGAAAAGGAGGGAGGUGGGGAGGAAUAGGAGGAGGAAGUAAAAAAAUUUGAUCAGAGAAACAGUUAAAAUACAAUAUGAAAAUAAGUAAUACCUCUCCUUAAAUUCCUUCUAUACACAAAAUACACGAUUUGCCAAAGCCCAAUUUGUGCUACUGGGAUUCUGUGAGCUCCUUAAGUGUAUUCACAUCCUCUGCAACAGCAGAAAAUGACUAUGAUACAAUCAGAAUAUGCUGAAGACAAGUUAAACUCUUGCCAGCAGGUUCUUAAAAAUCACAAGAUCUCUUCACCCCUCCCACCCCCCCAUCCCCAAAAAAGUAAUAAUAUGUCACCACUGAUAUGUACAUCACAAUUAGUUUCUGUAAAAUGUAUCAAAUUUUCAAUCUUUAAUAAAACUUUGUUUUUUUUAAUUCCUGAUGAAUAAAUACCAAAAAAAUAAAAUAAAAUAAAAUAA
This is a long non-coding RNA of Equus quagga, 1625 nucleotides long. RefSeq lists it as uncharacterized. The transcript is spliced from 2 exons. The record is from RefSeq and is a predicted model, not a curated record. Lineage: Eukaryota; Metazoa; Chordata; Mammalia; Perissodactyla; Equidae.